Molecule: ribosomal RNA, 363 nt
Filed under: uncultured Anoxybacillus sp.
Lineage: Bacteria; Bacillati; Bacillota; Bacilli; Caryophanales; Anoxybacillaceae
Description: bacterial SSU rRNA
Rfam family: Bacterial small subunit ribosomal RNA
Source: RNAcentral
UUCGGGGGACGAGGGUGACAGGUGGUGCAUGGUUGUCGUCAGCUCGUGUCGUGAGAUGUUGGUUAAGUCCCGCAACGAGCGCAACCCUCGACCUUAGUUGCCAGCAUUCAGUUGGGCACUCUAAGGUGACUGCCGGCUAAAAGUCGGAGGAAGGUGGGGAUGACGUCAAAUCAUCAUGCCCCUUAUGACCUGGGCUACACACGUGCUACAAUGGGCGGUACAAAGGGUCGCGAACCCGCGAGGGGGAGCCAAUCCCAAAAAGCCGCCCUCAGUUCGGAUUGCAGGCUGCAACUCGCCUGCAUGAAGCCGGAAUCGCUAGUAAUCGCGGAUCAGCAUGCCGCGGUGAAUACGUUCCCGGGCCUU